This 464-nucleotide unclassified non-coding RNA is filed under the name Hevea brasiliensis (rubber tree). Lineage: Eukaryota; Viridiplantae; Streptophyta; Magnoliopsida; Malpighiales; Euphorbiaceae. The record is from RNAcentral.
GGAGAUGUUUAAAUGUUUAGGCCGCCUUUCAAAGGGCAGCAACCUGAAUUAAUAUCAAGGAAAAUUCUUGCUUGCUACAAUGUUGGGAACAGAAAACGAGAAGAACAACAAGAGCAAAAGACAACUCAAAUCAACUGACAAAGAACCCAGCAAUCCAAAGUUAUGGCCGAAUCUUCCCCAGCAACUCAUCUACCUCAUAGCAAGAAAGUUCUCACUAAUGCAAGAAAUUUGUUCAAAGGAAGUGACUAAAUCAUGGAGAGCAGAACCAAGCAAAUGCAGGCCAAAUCCCACACCACCAUGGCUUGAACUCUCCAGCGAUUAUGGAAGUCACCAUAACCACAAGGAACCUUACACUUUCAACAUACCAUUUAGAAGGGGUUUCUCCUGGUACUGGAGAGGAGAAAGACCUGCACUUCCAGCCUAUCAUUUUCUUGGAUGCUCCCAUGGUCUAGUGGCAAAAGGAG